Long non-coding RNA from Corvus hawaiiensis (hawaiian crow), 4285 nucleotides. RefSeq lists it as uncharacterized. NCBI's taxonomy places the organism in Eukaryota, Metazoa, Chordata, Aves, Passeriformes, Corvidae. The record is from RefSeq and is a predicted model, not a curated record. The transcript is spliced from 3 exons.
UGCUCGAGCUGUCGGAGCUUCACCUGUGAACACAGGAUCCCUCAGACACACUGGGAAAAGGCCAGGGAUCCUCAGACAGAUGUAUUUCAUAAGUGGCUGAAGAGCCGCAGAGGCUCCAUCCUGCUCCAGGCAGAGCUGAUGGGAUUUGCGGCGGUCCCAGUUGCCAUGGAGAAAGUGUUGGAUGGCUUUAAUACAUCUCCGUGAAUUUCUCCCUGGAGUUUUCCCAUGACAAGCUGGACUGGAGCAGUUUUCGAGCAAUUUCCAGUGGGUAAGUUGAGUGCAGAGCCCCUCGCAGAGCAAGGAGGGGAUCGACGUGGGAAAUGAUGACGACAAAAGGAGAACCACCAGGGAUGGCAGAAAGAUCAUCCUUGCAAAAAUGCCAACGUCAGCCCUGGCAGGAAGAGGAGAAGAAAAACAGUUUGAGAAGGAAGAAAAUGUGCAAACCUCUGUGGGAAUGGUGCCUGCAUGGGAAAUAAUACCCCAAAAGAUCAUAUUUGGGGGUGUCAGAGGUGGGGAAGGUAGGGACUCCUCUCUGCUUCAUCAGCAUCACUGGGCGGUGCCUGGUCACGUUUAUGCUGCUGCUUCUACUGUUUUCUCCGUGUUUUCUGUAUCUCUUUGCUUUCUGCUGUGGUUUCCCUUUUGCCCCUCUCUCCUGCUGCUGUCACCUGUCUUCUCCUCAGGUUUUAGGCUGCUCUCUCCCACAGAGGGUGGUGGAGAAGCUGCUGGGGCCAGCGGGUGCUGAGUGGGCACUGCUGGCACAAGGGCCUGUGUGCUGUUAGUUUGGCUUGGUGCCUGCAAUCGAUAUGAGCUUGCUUGGGGUAAUUGUUUUGUGUCUCUGGAACAGUUUAUUUGGUUUCUAAAGUGCUCACUUUAUAGAGUUAUUUCUCAAGCCUUGUCCGAGCCUCUUGUCACGUCGGUACUAAGUGAGUUUCAGGGCUAUUUGCUAGUCAACUUUGUCAUUUCUAUUUCAUUUUUUAGUUUGCUCUCUACGUACACUGAAGUGUAAUUCUGUUUGGUUUUGCUGACUUGGGCCUGAAGAGAGACACAUUGCCGCCUUCUGAAACCCCCUCCAAGGCCUUCACCUCCCUGGCAGCCCCCUGAGCUUUGUGGGGUCUGCCUUUCACCCCCUGAGCCCGUCUGCCCUGAUUCCCCUUCGUGGGGCUUGGGCAGGGACGCUGUGGGACACGGGGAUGUGAGGGUGCAGGGAUUCAGGGAUGUAGGGAUGUGGAGAUGCUGUGCCCCACAGCCACACCAGUCCUGCUCUGCCCUGAGCCCCUGGAAAAUGAGCAGUGAAUUAAAGGACUGCCCACGAGCGCGGGGGAGGAAAGAGAAAGCCUGAUCUUUCCAGAUGACAUUUACGCCUGCAGAAGGCCGAUGUAUUUUAUCCACUGUCACAUUUAAAAGGCACUGAAUUCAUUAUACUGUUGAAUAAAUCAUUAUUUUAAAAAACGUAUUUAUCCAGAGAAGAGCCACAGCUUUUCAGUCAAGAGCUGCUCCUGCUCAGAUAAACUCUUCCACCACGGGAGCUUCCAGCUCUCCCCUCACUGACAGUACUGGUAGCAGGUUUUUGGGUCCCACACUGCCCUGUGCAUGGGGACGAAGAUCCAGGCUUUGCUUGGGGGAGCAGCUGAGGGCUGACAAGACACUGAAGUGCUCGCACGCCUCUGUCACAGAGGGUUAAAGUUGUUGAGCUGAAGCUUGGUAAAUCAGGCAGGAAAAUAAUCAGCUCCCAGGUGAAGUGAGAAGAUGCUUGAUGUUUUACAGCUUCUUUCAUACACUUUACAGAAACUAAUGGUUACACAAAUAAUACCUGGGGGAUGAUAACAAGCUAUAAAUAAUUCAGGGUUCUCUGGCACAGAGCUGCCGUGUGCAGGUGUGAGGAGCACACGGCACCUUGGGAUGACUCACGUCCUGGGAGACUGGUGCUCUUUCACCAUCCUACAGCUCUCUUAGCAGUGUCCCUGCCCUUUUCCCAGCCUUUCUGGCCUGGCUCUGCUUUCUCCCCUCACACCCAGAUCACCCACUCCCCCAGCUGCUGCAGGAGCUAUCAGCAACACCCUGUGCCGACAGUGCUGGGAGAAGCCUGAGGUUUUCCAUGUGUUCUGGGGCCACACAACCAACUGGCCAAGCCCAUCAUCCUCCAAAGAGUUGUGCAUAAGCUGCUAUGCCCCAAAGCCACUGCUGGUGUCUGUAUCCAAACCGAGCACCUCAGAGAGCCACCGCCCCUGGCCGGCUGUGGGUCACGCCAGGCUCUGCCCGCCUCUGCCAGCCCUUUCCACAAACACUGGAGGUUUUUUUGAGAGCUGUUUGUGUGCAAUUCCCCAUCCUCGGAUGGAGAGGUUUCAGUUUCUCUGCCGCUAAAUAUUUUGACAGCCUCUUGUCUCGCAGCCUGGCACAGUGUGACAUGUUGUACGGUAACAGUCCCCUCGGCUCCCCGCUGCGGCACUCCACGUGCUUUGUGCCAGCACACCACGUGCUCCCCACACCGAAAUGGGCUCCAUCCAGCAGCCACAACCCUCCCAGGAGGAAUCAUUCCCAGCUCAAACCCCGGAGAUGGGAAUGGGGGCAAGGGAAGAAGGCACUCUGCCACAGCUGCCUCAAAGCGGGAGAUGGAUGGCUGCCGAGGAGGGCUCAGCCUUCUUUAUCCCAAAGGAUUCCCCACAGCCGGAUCCCUCCUGACUGCACGUCUGGAUGUCUUAUCAUGAGCGUGUUGUUCUUAAUGAGGAAACAACCAGGAAAGUUGGUGGCAGGACCCACAGCUCAAUAAAGCAGGGGAACAAAAACCUCCACUGCAAUUUGGAAUCGAGUUUUCUCUUCCAGCCUGUGUCGCGGGGAGGAAUUGAUCUGUCUAAUCUCUUAUCUGUGACUAUGAAAUUGUAUUUCCCUCUUAAUAGCCCUACAAAUGUUACAGAUGGAUAGUUUGGAAGACAGGCUGCCAGUGGUAGGAAUACUAAAAAGGAUGUUGAGUUUUGCUUGCUUUGGGGUGCAGCAACCAGCAUGGAAUGCCAGGAUCCCUGUUGGCCUUGGCCCCACUCUGCAGGGACCCAGCUCAAACACUGACAUUUGCACCCCAUUCCUGGUUAGCUCAGGCUGGAGGGCUCUUAGGAGCUGUUUAAUUUAGGCAUCACAAAGCUGCCCCAUCCCUCCUCACCCUGUUACUACAUUGUAAAGAGGAGGAGAAAGAAGCAGACCAGGCUCUUUCUCUGCUCUUCCCAGUUUCCCAUGUGAAAGCCUGGUUUUCCCACAUCGGGAUGGCCACCAAGUGUCUCAGGCACUUAGACUCCCCAUGGAGCAGUGAGUGGCACCUUCAGGGGGCAGAGGGGGCUUUUCCCUCCAGAGCUCCAUCAGCCAGGUUUCCCCAUGAUUUUCCUUGCAAGUUCACAGGCGCUGGCAUCCCCCAGAUUUUUCUGGAUUGCAGAGACGUGAGGGGACAAUGUCCUUGUACCCCCAGCUCCUGCCCUGUCCCUGAUGGACUGUCUGGCUCCACAGCAUCUCCAGUGUGGAUGUGAUGUGUUGAUGUGAGGUGCCUCUGGCGCUGCCAUCCCUUCUUCUUCCAGUCCAGAAGAUUUUCCCAGGACCAAGAAACUGAGGUGAAGGAGAAUGGGAACACUGCGGGCCACUGCCACGGAGCUGUUUGAUGAUGAAUUUGGAGCAGUCAAGGUGACCUUUUUGGGAUGGGGCCCGUGCUUGUCCCCAUGCAUCCCCCGUGCCUGCCCGGCCAUCAAGCCCUUUUUGCCAUCAGGACAUUCAUCACCACACUAUCACAGUAUUUAAAUGAGUCAGAUUAAUCACUUUAUCAUCCAAAUACAGGUGGAUUAAUGCAGUCACUUAAUACUCUGUUUAAGCAGCUGAUUUUUUUUUAAAAAGCUCAAUAAUUGAGGGAAUUACUGGAAAAAUUAGAAAAAUUAACAGUUUAUUUACUACUUAUUGUCAGAGCUGCCAGCCAAGAAAAAGUGGGAUCAAUAAGCACUUGUUUCACCCUCCUACACCUCUCUCCCCUCAAACAGCACCUCUGGGAACACAAAUCUGGGGCAACUGCCAUGGCCAAAACUGAGCAGGUAAGCAUGGAAAUACCCUGUCGUGGGAAGAACUGAGCUCCAUCUCCACGUAUUUUAAUAUGGGAAAUGUCAUCUGCUGUUCCAGCUCCUCUCAUAAACAGGGAACGUGCCUGUCAGCAAGCUGAACCCGUAAAAGUUGAAUAAUAUUUGUUGAUUAAUGUAGUCAAUGGAUUUCAUAUUUCCUUUAAAAUAGUUGCUCCGUAUUUCUGUAAAUUAUUCAUCCGGUU